This 64-nucleotide ribosomal RNA is filed under the name Anopheles lesteri. RNAcentral describes it as "partial 5.8S ribosomal RNA". The record is from RNAcentral. Lineage: Eukaryota; Metazoa; Arthropoda; Insecta; Diptera; Culicidae.
GGGUAUAUGUACGCAUAUUGCACGUCGUGGGAACCUACCAUGACGUACCCAUACUUGAGCGCUU